Molecule: transfer-messenger RNA, 379 nt
Filed under: Betaproteobacteria bacterium
Lineage: Bacteria; Pseudomonadati; Pseudomonadota; Betaproteobacteria
Rfam family: transfer-messenger RNA
About the family: Bacterial tmRNA, also known as 10Sa RNA or SsrA, is named for its dual tRNA and mRNA-like properties. Its role is to liberate the mRNA from a stalled ribosome.
Source: RNAcentral
GGGGCCGACCUGGUUUCGACGUGGGCAACAAAGCAGAACCGUGCAUACCGAGGCGUGGCUACCUCGUAAAUACACCCACAAACCAAAUAGUCGCAAACGACGAAAACUACGCACUCGCUGCUUAAACACCAGUGAUGCGCUCUGCACCAGUGGGCCUCAACGCUGGGUGUCGCUGUACUUGUACAGUGUCACGGCAGAGUCAUUAACGAGGCUCGCCUUGCACCGGGUCACUUGAUGCAAGGUUAAAUUUAGGUGACCCGCUGCUCCAGAGCCUGCCCACCGGCGCCGGAGCGGUCAGAAUCAAAAGAGGGGAUCUAAGUAUGUAGAGCGGCCUGCGGAGGGCUUGCGGACGGCGGUUCGAUUCCGCCCGGCUCCACCA